This 254-nucleotide ribosomal RNA is filed under the name uncultured bacterium. Its description in RNAcentral is "partial 16S ribosomal RNA". It matches the Rfam family "Bacterial small subunit ribosomal RNA", at positions 524 to 776 of the family's 1533-position model. The record is from RNAcentral.
UACGUAGGGUGCAGGCGUUAAUCGGAAUUACUGGGCGUAAAGGGCGCGUAGGCGGUCAGCACAAGUCAGUUGUGAAAUCUCCGGGCUUAACUCGGAAAGGUCAACUGAUACUGUGCGACUAGAGUGCAGAAGGGGCAACUGGAAUUCUCGGUGUAGCGGUGAAAUGCGUAGAUAUCGGGAGGAACACCAGUGGCGAAGGCGGUUGCCUGGGGCUGUGCUGACGCUGAUGCGCGAAAGCGUGGGGAGCGAUCCGG